CCUACGGGUGGCAGCAGUGGGGAAUAUUGGACAAUGGGGGGAACCCUGAUCCAGCGACGCCGCGUGAGUGAAGAAGUCUUUCGGUAUGUAAAGCUCUAUCAGCAGGGAAGAAAGAAAUGACGGUACCUGACUAAGAAGCCCCGGCUAACUACGUGCCAGCAGCCGCGGUAAUACGGAGGGGGCAAGCGUUAUCCGGAUUUACUGGGUGUAAAGGGAGCGUAGACGGCGAGGCAAGUCUGAAGUGAAAGGCGGGGGCCCAACCUCCGGACUGCUUUGGAAACUGUAUGGCUGGAGUGCAGGAGAGGUAAGUGGAAUUCCUAGUGUAGCGGUGAAAUGCGUAGAUAUUAGGAGGAACACCAGUGGCGAAGGCGGCUUACUAGACUGUAACUGACGUUGAGGCUCGAAAGCGUGGGGAGCAAACAGGAUUAGAUACCCGUGUAGUC
This 443-nucleotide ribosomal RNA is filed under the name uncultured bacterium. RNAcentral describes it as "partial 16S ribosomal RNA". It matches the Rfam family "Bacterial small subunit ribosomal RNA", at positions 338 to 795 of the family's 1533-position model. The record is from RNAcentral.